GCACUGCUGAGGAGUCCUACACUAGAACGAAAUGGCCGUCCAGUGC
This 46-nucleotide non-coding RNA is filed under the name Schistosoma bovis. Lineage: Eukaryota; Metazoa; Platyhelminthes; Trematoda; Strigeidida; Schistosomatidae. RNAcentral also lists the same sequence under 1 other name. The record is from RNAcentral.